CCUACGGGGGGCAGCAGUGGGGAAUAUUGCACAAUGGGGGAAACCCUGAUGCAGCGACGCCGCGUGAGUGAUGAAGUAUUUCGGGAUGUAAAGCUCUAUCAGCAGGGAAGAAAAUGACGGUACCUGACUACGAAGCCCCGGCUAACAACGUGCCAGCAGCCGCGGUAAUACGUAGGGGGCAGGCGUUAUCCGGAUUUACUGGGGGAAGGGGAGCGUGGACGGCGGGGCAGGCCAGAUGUGAAAGCCCGGGGCUCAACCGCGGGACUGCAUUUGAAACGGGGCUGCUAGAGUGUCGGAGAGGCAGGCGGAAUUCCUGGUGUAGCGGUGAAAUGCGUAGAUAUUAGGAGGAACACCAGUGGCGAAGGCGGCCUGCUGGACGAUGACUGACGUUGAGGCUCGAAAGCGUGGGGAGCAAACAGGAUUAGAUACCCCAGUAGUC
RNAcentral lists this ribosomal RNA (439 nucleotides) under uncultured bacterium. RNAcentral describes it as "partial 16S ribosomal RNA". It matches the Rfam family "Bacterial small subunit ribosomal RNA", at positions 338 to 795 of the family's 1533-position model. The record is from RNAcentral.